RNAcentral lists this transfer RNA (73 nucleotides) under Stegodyphus mimosarum. It matches the Rfam family "tRNA". Rfam says of the family: Transfer RNA (tRNA) molecules are approximately 80 nucleotides in length. Their secondary structure includes four short double-helical elements and three loops (D, anti-codon, and T loops). Further hydrogen bonds mediate the characteristic L-shaped molecular structure. tRNAs have two regions of fundamental functional importance: the anti-codon, which is responsible for specific mRNA codon recognition, and the 3' end, to which the tRNAs corresponding amino acid is attached (by aminoacyl-tRNA synthetases). tRNAs cope with the degeneracy of the genetic code in two manners: having more than one tRNA (with a specific anti-codon) for a particular amino acid; and 'wobble' base-pairing, i.e. permitting non-standard base-pairing at the 3rd anti-codon position. The record is from Rfam by way of RNAcentral. Lineage: Eukaryota; Metazoa; Arthropoda; Arachnida; Araneae; Eresidae.
GCCUUCGUGGUGUAAUGGUCAGCACGCUCGGCGCGUAUUCGAGAGGUCCGUGGUUCGAGUCCUGGCGAGUGCA